GUGGGGAUUAUUGGACAAUGGGGGGAACCCUGAUCCAGCCAUGCCGCGUGUGUGAAGAAGGCCUUUUGGUUGUAAAGCACUUUAAGCGAGGAGGAGGCUACCGAGAUUAAUACUCUUGGAUAGUGGACGUUACUCGCAGAAUAAGCACCGGCUAACUCUGUGCCAGCAGCCGCGGUAAUACAGAGGGUGCAAGCGUUAAUCGGAUUUACUGGGCGUAAAGCGCGCGUAGGUGGCCAAUUAAGUCAAAUGUGAAAUCCCCGAGCUUAACUUGGGAAUUGCAUUCGAUAGUGGUUGGGUAGAGUAUGGGAGAGGAUGGUAGAAUUCCAGGUGUAGCGGUGAAAUGCGUAGAGAUCUGGAGGAAUACCGAUGGCGAAGGCAGCCAUCUGGCCUAAUACUGACACUGAGGUGCGAAAGCAUGGGGAGCAAACAGGAUUAGAAACCCCGGUAGUCC
RNAcentral lists this ribosomal RNA (451 nucleotides) under uncultured bacterium. RNAcentral describes it as "partial 16S ribosomal RNA". It matches the Rfam family "Bacterial small subunit ribosomal RNA", at positions 354 to 796 of the family's 1533-position model. The record is from RNAcentral.